GGCUGCCACCCUCAUCCCAGGCUCUUCCCGGGUCCCCGCCUGGUGUCCUGCACCUCCCCUACCUUGCAGCCUCUCCCUUGGUCCCCUCAGGGCCCCCUCUCCUGUGUCAUUCCUGGCGCUCGUCAUUUUUGGCUUUGUGUUAGAGCUAUGCAUGUGCUUCCUUUCCCUCAGCACUGUCUGAGAGGCUCAGUAGCCCUGCCUGCUGCUCUGGGGAGUGACUGUGGGAAGCCUGGUGUCAACCCGGUACUUCCUCAAGUGUGUUGAUGAGUUUCUGGGACCCUGCUCCUGGUCUCUCUACAACCCACCCCGACCCCAGCAAGCCUCAUGAAUGGGGCACCCCUGGGAGACAGGAGGAAGAGUAGAUGGAAGCCUGGUAGAUAGUGAUACAGGCCUCAUACAGACCAACCCUGAUCCUCCAGUGUCACCUCUCUGAGCCCUACCUGUGAUACGGAGAUCCAGGGCGGGCCUGACCACUGAACAGAAAUGCGCUUGGACUUCUCGGCUCCGCACAGAGAGGCCACUCCGACUUCUCUCUCAUAUCAAGGGACCCAAGGGGCACCCAGGCACAGGGGCAUGCUCACGGAGCACCCAGUAGUCGGAGCACCAAGACCUGGCUCUUCACACCCGUCAAAAUAUGAAACUGCCUGCCACCCAGCUCCAGAGGAGGACAGUGAGGUUCAGCGAAGAGACUUCUUUCUGCCCCUCCCAUUUCGUGUCCAGAUGAAUGAACCCACAAGAACUUGGCUGGCUGGCUCUGAAUUCCGACUUCCCUGGGAAAGCACAGAACGUUACCUACACUGUUUAGCUGCUCCAGAAAGAGUUCUGCCAGGAGCAGAGGGGUGUAUCAGGGAGUUGUCUGAACAACCUCAGUGGCGUGACUCCAUUGAUAUGAGGAUCUGCCCUCGGACGGGAGGCGUCCUCUCUCUGAGGCAGGAAGGCCGUCUGAGGAGCCGACGGAGACACAGCCCUCCUCUCCCCAGUGCUGGGGAAGGAGAUUCUCUCUCUUGAACCCACAUCCACUUUUCCCACGGGACACAGGUGCCUCCACACCUCCCCCUGCCCCCCGCUCCCCACAGUCACUGGGCCCAUGAAAGAGGAGAAAUCUGGGAGAGGAGCUGGGCAAGUUGUAAAAAGAAGUUGUCUGUAGAAUUCCCCCUCUUCCUGCCUUGGGGCAUCCAGGCUUCAGGAACAUGGGGUGUCCUGUGAGGCUCUUGGUGUUCAUGUCCCUGGCCCACUGCUGCCUGACUUCUGACAAAGACCCCCUCACCCAUCUCAGGGCCUCUCCAGCCCCAUGCCUGCCUUGGCCUGUCCUCCUACAGCCUCAUGAAAAAGCCUGUCCUGCCUUCCCUUGUACUGAUCCUUGGCCUGGAAUGCUGACCCCACCCUGGCCUUUCGGCCCUCUGCCAAGUCCCGCUGCGCCCUCUCGCCUCAGUUCCCUGCUUCUACCCCACUUGACUGUGACCACCCCUCAUCCCAUCCCCACCUUGAAAUCCCCUUUGCGCCCAACACACAUUACUAAUGGGACCACUUUUGGUCUCGGGUAUAAGUAUCCGGCAGCUGUCCUGAGUUUUGCACUUGACUGAGGCCAUUGAGGUAGAGGCAACCUCGCUGUGUUUUUCCCCAAUGAGGAACAGAGUAGUUGCUCAUCAGUGUGUGCUGAAGGAACACUGAUGGACUCAGGUUAGCCCACCUCCACACUGCCCACCAAAUGAGAAGUGUUUGCCCGUGGGAACAGGGUGGUGGGUCCCUAGAACUAGGUGGACUUCCAGGGCGUAUUCAGUGGGCCGGCUGGGCACUCAGCACUGUUUAGGGCAUUGUUUGCAUGGGACAUGCACUCUGAGUUCCAUACAGCCUGGCUUCAGAUAAGCUCACAGGAACAAGUUGUCUUCUUUGAACUUGGCGACUGUCUGCAUUUGCCCAUAAGCAGGCCCAGGAGCCCAGUCUAAAGACUGGUCAAGAUGGGAAGACCAUAAGCAUUCCUGAAGCAGGAAGGAGCAGACAUGAAACAGAAAGUCCCCCAGCUCCUUGUCCUUUGAAAUUAUAAAGACCUGAAACCAUCUCCCCAGCCCACCCCUCCAGCACAACGAAACCCUAGCAAUUCCACUGUUGCCAGGAUUACAGCUGUCUACUUCACUGUGUCCUAAACAGAUUUCUCUGAACCUUGAAGGUCAACACUGCAGCACUUCCUGGAUAAAAAAUAAAAAAGUCGUUAGCUCCCAUUAGCCAAGGCCCACCUCUGGGCAUAUGGUAAGGACUGCAUCACUCUCCCCUUCCCUUUUAACC
Long non-coding RNA from Bos taurus (domestic cattle), 2283 nucleotides. The record is from Ensembl. NCBI's taxonomy places the organism in Eukaryota, Metazoa, Chordata, Mammalia, Artiodactyla, Bovidae.